This 578-nucleotide ribosomal RNA is filed under the name uncultured bacterium. Its description in RNAcentral is "partial 16S ribosomal RNA". It matches the Rfam family "Bacterial small subunit ribosomal RNA", at positions 355 to 927 of the family's 1533-position model. The record is from RNAcentral.
UGGGGAAUUUUGGACAAUGGGCGAAAGCCUGAUCCAGCAAUGCCGCGUGUGUGAAGAAGGCCUUCGGGUUGUAAAGCACUUUUGUCCGGAAAGAAAUCCUUGGCUCUAAUACAGUCGGGGGAUGACGGUACCGGAAGAAUAAGCACCGGCUAACUACGUGCCAGCAGCCGCGGUAAUACGUAGGGUGCAAGCGUUAAUCGGAAUUACUGGGCGUAAAGCGUGCGCAGGCGGUUUGCUAAGACCGAUGUGAAAUCCCCGGGCUCAACCUGGGAACUGCAUUGGUGACUGGCAGGCUAGAGUAUGGCAGAGGGGGGUAGAAUUCCACGUGUAGCAGUGAAAUGCGUAGAGAUGUGGAGGAAUACCGAUGGCGAAGGCAGCCCCCUGGGCCAAUACUGACGCUCAUGCACGAAAGCGUGGGGAGCAAACAGGAUUAGAUACCCUGGUAGUCCACGCCCUAAACGAUGUCAACUAGUUGUUGGGGAUUCAUUUCCUUAGUAACGUAGCUAACGCGUGAAGUUGACCGCCUGGGGAGUACGUCGCAAGAUUAAAACUUAAAUGAAUUGNCGGGGUCNUAGCUG